RNAcentral lists this ribosomal RNA (465 nucleotides) under uncultured bacterium. RNAcentral describes it as "partial 16S ribosomal RNA". It matches the Rfam family "Bacterial small subunit ribosomal RNA", at positions 338 to 795 of the family's 1533-position model. The record is from RNAcentral.
CCUACGGGGAGCAGCAGUGGGGAAUAUUGCGCAAUGGGCGAAAGCCUGACGCAGCGACGCCGCGUGAGGGAUGAAGGUCUUCGGAUCGUAAACCUCUGUCAGCAGGGAAGAACGGUCACUGUGCUAAUCAGCAGUGAAUUGACGGUAACUGCAAAGGAAGCACCGGCUAACUCCGUGCCAGCAGCCGCGGUAAUACGGAGGGUGCGAGCGUUAAUCGGAUUUACUGGGCGUAAAGCGCUCGUAGGCGGUAUGUCAAGUCAAGGGUGAAAGCCCCGCGCUCAACGGGGGAACUGCCUUUGAGACUGGCAACCUGGAGUGUGGGAGAGGAUAGUGGAAUUCCAGGUGUAGGAGUGAAAUCCGUAGAUAUCUGGAGGAACAUCAGUGGCGAAGGCGACUAUCUGGCACAUAACUGACGCUGAGGAGCGAAAGCGUGGGUAGCAAACAGGAUUAGAUACCCGAGUAGUC